GGGGGUGAAAUGGUUUCGACGGGGACGUUGUGCGUUAAGGAAGCGAGCCGUGGCCCCGAACCACGAUAAAAGCGGGAAAGAUAUAACUGCGAACAACGAGUAUUCGGCUCUGCCGAUGGCGGCCUAAGGCCGCCCGUCGGCUCUCAAGCGCCUACGGCUUGGGAAGUCCGGCGUCAUUGAUGUAGGGAACUAGCCCGCGUAAGCUUUGCCGCGAGGCUAUCAAUAUGAAGCUACCCGGUUCUUGAUCCUGCUUAUGGGAGCUUGAGCGGGGAAAUCAAACCAUAAGCUGCGCUCGGAGACGCCUUUACGUUCAAGUUUUCGGACAGGGGUUCGACUCCCCUCACCUCCACCA
Molecule: transfer-messenger RNA, 352 nt
Filed under: Oscillospiraceae bacterium
Lineage: Bacteria; Bacillati; Bacillota; Clostridia; Eubacteriales; Oscillospiraceae
Rfam family: transfer-messenger RNA
About the family: Bacterial tmRNA, also known as 10Sa RNA or SsrA, is named for its dual tRNA and mRNA-like properties. Its role is to liberate the mRNA from a stalled ribosome.
Source: RNAcentral